UGACCUGUGCAGGGGCGGGGCCCGAGGUGUCUCCGGAGGGCUUCCGGGAGGCCGCGUGCCGGGGGUGGGGCUCUAGCCUGAGGUUCCAGAGGUUCCAGCGGAAGUCGCCCCGCAGCCUCCCGGGUGGGCAGGGCUGGGUGCUCUCGGAGCUGCUGGCUGUGGACACCCGACCUCUAGCCUUUAUGCAGCUGCACCGGUACAACUUUUUCUCUGACCUGGCGGGUGGGGCAGGGAGCACCGGCUACAAAGGCAGCAAAUCCUGGGCUGGACAGCGAAAUAGAGGGAAUUUAAAAUAUUGAGGUGUGAAGAUAGCAUUUUGCAAUCAAAAAGAACCUUUACCCCGCUGGGACAAAAGAAUGGCUCGUAGUCUUCUGGCUCCAUUCCUCCAUCCCGAAAAUCGAAGGCAUAAAUGUCCUGCACGGACAGGUGCAGGACAACUACAGGCAACACCCGGGGAAAGCGCCUGAGAUGAUGGCGGCUAAGAAACAUUCCUGAUUUGUGAUUGUAAUUGUGUUAGGUUGGGAAGCACCUGGUAAGAGUUCAUGGGAGCCUCCCAUGUGACUUGCUAAGCAGGUGUAGAAACCUCAGCUCGCAUUUGAGCCUAUGGUUUACCUCUGCUCUAAUCCACAGCUGGUAGCUUUCUGCAUAUCUGAUCUGAGAGUUGCGUAAAUAACUCACACGCAUAUUAAUCAAGUUACUUAUUAAGUUGUUGUAGGAGCUGAAGAGAUGAGUUAGCAGUAAGUAACACUGCCUGCAAGGGGUUAGAUUGCCAGCACCCAAAUGGCAGUUCACAACUGUCUGUAAUCCCAGGUCAAAGGGAUGCUACAACCUUUUCUGGCCUCCAAGGGCAUCAGGAAUGUGCAUAAAUAUGCUUACAUACAGGCAAAUACCCAUAACACGUUUUAAAAAAACAAAAUGUGUUAAAUAGGCUUUUUUUUUAUUUCAACUGGUUUAUAGAGCUAGUCAGGUAUGUCCAAGAUUAAUGUUCUCAGAGAUAGGCUUCUAUGACAGGAGGUGUUUGCAACUUUGUGCCAUAAUCUAAACUAAAAAAAAGUGAGCUGCAAGAGUCUGGAAUUCAAGUUCCCAGGAGGCAAAAGCAAAAGGCUCAGGAAUUCAAAGUAAGCCUGGGCUGCAUAGUGAAACUGCUUCUAAAAAUAAAUACUAAGUAAAAAUAAAAAUAAUUUUCAAGUGAGAUUAACCUGCACUGUGGCAUGGUUUUAGACACAGGGUGGCAAUCCUUUUCACUAAGAAUAGUAAAGGACGCUACCAGCUCAAGCAGAGAGAUUCAGCUUCUACAAAAUGUAUAACUAUCUACCAGGUAUUGUGCAAACUGUCCUCUAGACAUGACUUUUAUGAGUUCGUGUCUUACAAAAGUACACUCCAGGCAUGAAAACAUAUAUUUCAGUUUUCUCAGUAAUAUGGAAAAAACUCCCAACUUAGUAGCUAUAAAUUUGAGAAUGACUAAAUAAGCUAUUUUGGGUUUUUUUCUCUGUAUGAUAUGUGUGCCAAGGUGUGGGCAUGUGUGUGUUGGUGAAUAUGUGUAUUGGUGUGUGUAAACAAAUGUGUACAGAUAUGUUCAGGCAUGGACACUUGACCCGUGUAAAUACCUGGAGAAACUCAACUUUUUUUUCAAGUUAGAAAUACUCCUCCAUUGCUUAUCUGCCUUAUUUUUUGAAGUAAGAUCUCUCAAUUGAGCCCAAAGCUCACCAAUAGAGCUAGUUUUGCAAAGCAGCUUGCUUUAGAGAUCCCUCUUUUCCACCUUCUCAAGCUGGAAUUAGAGGAGCCAUCACACCCACGCAGCAUUUAUAUAUGUUCUGAGGAUUUGAACUCAAUAGAGUUCUCUUGCUGGCAUGGCAAUUUAGCCAUCUCACUGCCCUAAACUAAAAUAAAGCCGACUACUGUUAAAGUAUGCUAUUCUUUUUAAAAAUAGAAAGAGGUAUCGCUAUUGGUACUCUUGUCACUCCUAUGACUCCUCUGAAAAUUACUCCCACAAUUAUUCACUAUGAAAUAACCAUGUGUUAUGUGUGCUGCCUAGUCUUAACUUGACAUAAGCUAGAGUUGUGUGAAAAGAGGGGACCCCCAGUGAGAAAAUGCCUCCAUAAAAUCAGGCUGUAAGGUAUUUUCUUAGUGGUUGAUGUGAGAGGGACCAGCCCAUUGUGGGUGCUGCCAUUCCUGGGCUGGUGGUCCUGGCACCUAAAAGAGAGUAUGCUGAGCAAUCCGUGGGGAGCAAGCCAGUAAGCAGCACCCCUCCAUGGCCUCUACUUCAGCUUCUGCCUCCAGGUUCCUGCUCUGGUUGAGUUCCUGUCCUGACUUCCUAUGAUGAUGAACAAUGAAGUGGAAGCAUGAGCCAAACAAACCCUUUCCUCCCCAGCUUACUUUUUGUUCACAGUGUUUCAUUGCAGCCAUAGUAACCUGAACUAAGACCAUUUUGGAAAAGUUGAGUUUCUCCAGGUAUUUACAUGGAAGCACAUCCUAAAGCCAAGCUAGUGUGCCACACCUGUACUCUCAGCACUUGGAAAGCAGAAGCAGGAGAAUUGCCACAAGUUCAAGACCAACCAAGUCUAUAUAUGGAGUUCUAGACAAGGCAUGACUACAUAUUAUAAUGGUUAAAAACCCAUCAUCCCACCAUGAAAAGCUGUGAGACUGAAAUCAGCAGGAAAUGCUUGGAGCUGCUUGUCUGUUUCAAGGGGCCACUGCCAACAGAGCCACAUUCCAUCUGAGUUGAGUUGCGAAUAAAUGGCGUGAUAAAUAAAUAAAUGGUUAUAAUAUCGAAAACUA
This is a long non-coding RNA of Mastomys coucha (southern multimammate mouse), 2778 nucleotides long. RefSeq lists it as uncharacterized. The record is from RefSeq and is a predicted model, not a curated record. Lineage: Eukaryota; Metazoa; Chordata; Mammalia; Rodentia; Muridae. The transcript is spliced from 3 exons.